Molecule: ribosomal RNA, 253 nt
Filed under: uncultured bacterium
Lineage: Bacteria
Description: partial 16S ribosomal RNA
Rfam family: Bacterial small subunit ribosomal RNA
Source: RNAcentral
GUACGUAGGUGCGAGCGUUGUCCGGAAUUAUUGGGCGUAAAGAGCUCGUAGGCGGCUUGUCGCGUCGGAUGUGAAAGCCCGGGGCUUAACUCCGGGUCUGCAUUCGAUACGGGCAGGCUAGAGUUCGGUAGGGGAGAUCGGAAUUCCUGGUGUAGCGGUGAAAUGCGCAGAUAUCAGGAGGAACACCGGUGGCGAAGGCGGAUCUCUGGGCCGAUACUGACGCUGAGGAGCGAAAGCGUGGGGAGCGAACAGG